This 1239-nucleotide long non-coding RNA is filed under the name Equus caballus (horse). RNAcentral's name for it is "lncRNA (ENSECAG00000055784.1)". Lineage: Eukaryota; Metazoa; Chordata; Mammalia; Perissodactyla; Equidae. The record is from RNAcentral.
GUGUGUGGGGGGGUGUUUCUCCCCGGGGUGCCUGCGUGUUUGUAUGUGGGGGGCGCCAGGCAGGAGACACAGUGGGAGAAGGGCCUCAGAGCUGGGAUUCGCCUCGCGCACUCGUACACUGCGUAUGUUGUGCAUGAGAGGUUGGAAGUCGAGCCAGAAAUAAUUCCCUCUUGAGACAGAGCAGGGCAGUUCCUACUGGCUCGGUCAGGGGGUGGCUCCCCCUUCAUCUGUCCUGGAGGAGACGCUGUUGACAGAUUGCUGGGGUCCUUUCAGUUUAGACCUCCGUGUCGAGAAUGUGUAGGGGAUGCUGGCGAGGGGAGGAGAAGGCUUGCUCGAAUGUGAGGAUGGGCACACUGCCUCGAAAUAUGGCUGAGAAACCCAGUUAUGGAGAGUGGAGCUGAGGAGGCAUAAUUGGCCCUAUUAUGAUACAACUGUUGGUUGGUUCCAUUCCUACUCUUGGAAAAGUGGAUCGAGGAAGACAUCAUGGAAAGAGAAAGUGGUGGACCAAGAGGGAAAGUGAUGAACCAAGAGGCUAAUUGGUCAUAUGAUCAUAUCGCCACUAAGUGACAGAACUGAUAUUCUCAUCACGAAAAUUUGACUUCACAGUCCAUGGAUUUGUUGUGCAAUGUGACUGAAUUUACCAGCCAAUCUCUUGAGAAGUAAGACAACUUGUGCCCAAAGAGGCCCACCUGACAAGGCCAUCUGUCUCAAGCCUGGUUUACUGUCCUGGGUGGUCCCAGGCUCUUGAAACGGAACAUCUUUCUCUUGAGAAAUACACAUGAAGCAAAUAGAACAGAAGGUGGCUCUUACACACCGGCCUCGCCACUCCAUCCCAAAUCUUUCAUGUUUUUUUAAAUGGGGGUGCUCUCAUGCGUCAAUUCCGUAUGUGCCUGUUCAGGAAUGCCGGCAAAAAAAAAUGUCAAGAGGGAAGAAAGAGACACUGGAGGGGCCCAGAGAGCAUGUGCAGAUCCAAACAUGAGUAAAACAACUAUGAUCAUCUUAGUGACUGUGAUAUCUCUUCUCACAACUCAGUAGUCAAUCUUCAAGCUCAUGGGGGGUUAGAAAGACAGAAAUGCCGCUCCUUGUUCCAUGUAAAAUAGUUGCUAUUCCAUAAUACCAUCUUUUUCUGUGUUUACAAUAAAAAAUAUCUUUGGGACACUGAUAUGUAUCUUAAUUUGUAUGGGAAUUGCCUUUUCACUAGUGCAUUCAUAGGAAUCAAGAACAAAAAGAGGAUUUAUU